AUUGGACGCUGGCAGCAGGCCUAACACAUGCAAGUCGAGCGGAUGAAGGGAGCUUGCUCCUGGAUUCAGCGGCGGACGGGUGAGUAAUGCCUAGGAAUCUGCCUGGUAGUGGGGGAUAACGUCCGGAAACGGGCGCUAAUACCGCAUACGUCCUGAGGGAGAAAGUGGGGGAUCUUCGGACCUCACGCUAUCAGAUGAGCCUAGGUCGGAUUAGCUAGUUGGUGGGGUAAAGGCCUACCAAGGCGACGAUCCGUAACUGGUCUGAGAGGAUGAUCAGUCACACUGGAACUGAGACACGGUCCAGACUCCUACGGGAGGCAGCAGUGGGGAAUAUUGGACAAUGGGCGAAAGCCUGAUCCAGCCAUGCCGCGUGUGUGAAGAAGGUCUUCGGAUUGUAAAGCACUUUAAGUUGGGAGGAAGGGCAGUAAGUUAAUACCUUGCUGUUUUGACGUUACCAACAGAAUAAGCACCGGCUAACUUCGUG
This 484-nucleotide ribosomal RNA is filed under the name uncultured bacterium. Its description in RNAcentral is "partial 16S ribosomal RNA". It matches the Rfam family "Bacterial small subunit ribosomal RNA", at positions 30 to 507 of the family's 1533-position model. The record is from RNAcentral.